CAAGUCGAGCGAGAAAGUGUAGCAAUACAUGAGUACAGCGGCGCACGGGUGAGUAACACGUGGGUAAUCUGCCCUAGAGUGGGGAAUAACACCGGGAAACCGGUGCUAAUACCGCAUACGAUCACGAUGUCUGCGGAUGUUGUGAUGAAAGGAGCAAUUCGCUCUUGGAGGAGCCCGCGGCUGAUUAGCUAGUUGGUAAGGUAAUGGCUUACCAAGGCAACGAUCAGUAGCCGGUCUGAGAGGACGGUCGGCCACACUGGAACUGAGACACGGUCCAGACUCCUACGGGAGGCAGCAGUGGGGAAUUUUUCGCAAUGGGGGCAACCCUGACGAAGCAACGCCGCGUGGGUGAUGAAGUCUCUUGGGACGUAAAACCCUUUCGACGGGGAAGAAACCGCAAGGUUGACGGUACCCGUAGAAGAAGCCCCGGCUAACUCCGUGCCAGCAGCCGCGGUAAUACGGGGGGGGCAAGCGUUGUUCGGAAUUACUGGGCGUAAAGGGCGCGUAGGCGGUUUGCUAAGUUGAAUGUGAAAACUCUGGGCUUAACCCAGAGCCUGCAUUCAAUACUGGCAGGCUAGAGUUCUGGAGGGGAUAGCGGAAUUCCUGGUGUAGCGGUGAAAUGCGUAGAUAUCAGGAGGAACACCGGUGGCGAAGGCGGCUAUCUGGACAGAGUCUGACGCUGAGGCGCGAAAGCUAGGGGAGCAAACAGGAUUAGAUACCCUGGUAGUCCUAGCCCUAAACGAUGGAUACUUGCUGUGACUGGGAUUGAAUCCAGUCGUGGCGAAGCUAACGCAUUAAGUAUCCCGCCUGGGGAGUACGGUCGCAAGGCUGAACUCAAAGGAAUUGACGGGGGCCC
This 856-nucleotide ribosomal RNA is filed under the name uncultured Acidobacteriota bacterium. RNAcentral describes it as "bacterial SSU rRNA". It matches the Rfam family "Bacterial small subunit ribosomal RNA", at positions 58 to 922 of the family's 1533-position model. The record is from RNAcentral. Lineage: Bacteria; Pseudomonadati; Acidobacteriota.